RNAcentral lists this ribosomal RNA (265 nucleotides) under uncultured Lactobacillus sp. RNAcentral describes it as "partial 16S ribosomal RNA". It matches the Rfam family "Bacterial small subunit ribosomal RNA", at positions 278 to 525 of the family's 1533-position model. Lineage: Bacteria; Bacillati; Bacillota; Bacilli; Lactobacillales; Lactobacillaceae. The record is from RNAcentral.
GAUGCAUAGCCCGAGUUGAGAGACUGAUCGGGCCACAUUGGGGACUGAGACACGGGCCCAAACUCCUACGGGAGGCAGCAGUAGGGAAUCUUCCACAAUGGACGCAAGUCUGAUGGAGCAAACGCCGCGUGAGUGAAGAAGGGUUUCGGCUCGUAAAAAGCUCUGUUGUCGGUGAAGAAGGACAGGGGUAGUAACUGACCCUUUGUUUUGACGGUAAUCAAUUAGAAAGUCACGGGCUAACUACGUGCCAGCAGCCGCGGUAAAU